CUUCCACUCGGUAGAGCUCAGCAUCUCUGGGGCCUCAACUCCUUAUCCAUCUGGGGCUGCUGCUCUGCAUCGGGGCAGUGAGCUCUCUCCUCCUACGCCCU
Non-coding RNA from Pteropus vampyrus (large flying fox), 101 nucleotides. The record is from Rfam. Lineage: Eukaryota; Metazoa; Chordata; Mammalia; Chiroptera; Pteropodidae.